RNAcentral lists this long non-coding RNA (205 nucleotides) under Elaeis guineensis (African oil palm). RNAcentral's name for it is "long non-coding RNA (EGUI_LNC053403)". The record is from RNAcentral. Lineage: Eukaryota; Viridiplantae; Streptophyta; Magnoliopsida; Arecales; Arecaceae.
ACCACCAUAGAAUCUUGUGCACAUGAAUCCAUAUUUUGGUUCAUACCCAGACAUGGUAUUAAGAUAUGUACGAAAUAUUCUGAAAAUGGUGGAGUGUGUAUAGAGAUUGUGAAUAGAUCAACAUAGAAUCGAUCACUCCUAGUAAGAGAAGAUCGCAUCUUGUGUAUUCUUAAUCCUAGAUGACUAAGAAAAAAAUUUUUGGCCA